AAUGCUUGAUUACACUCAGACCUAGCAGUCGUCUGGGCGCAGCUGGUUUAUGGAUCACUUUGUCACAAUGUUCCAUCCUUCCAGGUCCCCAUCCCCGCGGUGGGAAAACAUUGCUUUAGGCAGUGCUAGAGGACUUCAGCAGGCAUUGGCAGCUUCUGGAUUCAGGAUUAGAACAAAGAAGGAGGAGUCACAGCAAAGAUAGGAACAGAAGGCAGAGAGAACAGACAGAUGGGGGUGUUUGAGAAGGAGGGCCUUUGAGACCUCAGGGAGUGGGAGACACUGGCUCGAGAAUAAUAAUAAUGGCAAUUUCUCUCAUCUGUGUUUUCAGGGCAUGGACUGGAACUCCCAAUACCCCUGACAUGGGCUGAGUCAACGUGGUCAUGAACAUGUGACAGGAGGCAGCAGAAGUUGCAGAGAAGAGUGAGGCACGUUUGAAAAAGGCUGAAAAAUGUUUCUGUCCAGGCAAGGGUGUGUGCUGAAUGACUCAAGGAUUUUUUGGCCUCUGCCUGUGUCCUGGCCCUCACUGCACCCCCAAGA
Molecule: long non-coding RNA, 537 nt
Filed under: Homo sapiens (human)
Lineage: Eukaryota; Metazoa; Chordata; Mammalia; Primates; Hominidae
Description: non-protein coding lnc-GLB1L2-1:21
Source: RNAcentral